GGGGGUGCAAUGGGUUCGACGGGGAUAUCGGCUCGCCAGAUAGCUAUCCGUAGCGGGAGUCUACGUUAAAAGCCCAACCGUUUAAUAUAAACGACAACGAUUAUUACGAAUUAGCAGCAGCGUAAGCUGCGCUCGGAGUUCCCGCGUUUGCUACCGCGCGGGGUAACUCCGCCGACUAGAUAGCGAACUUUUGCGCGUUUGCCUUGGCGCGUAAAAAGAUUUAAGGCUACUUUCGCGCCGCGGUUGUCAAUCCCCGCGGCGCGCGGGGAAUGUCAAGAAUUGACUGUGAUAGGAGAAGUUUGACGGGGUGGGUCUUCGGACAGGGGUUCGAUUCCCCUCACCUCCA
RNAcentral lists this transfer-messenger RNA (346 nucleotides) under Clostridia bacterium. It matches the Rfam family "transfer-messenger RNA". Rfam says of the family: Bacterial tmRNA, also known as 10Sa RNA or SsrA, is named for its dual tRNA and mRNA-like properties. Its role is to liberate the mRNA from a stalled ribosome. The record is from RNAcentral. Lineage: Bacteria; Bacillati; Bacillota; Clostridia.